RNAcentral lists this unclassified non-coding RNA (434 nucleotides) under Papiliotrema flavescens. Its description in RNAcentral is "sequence contains 18S rRNA gene, ITS1, 5.8S rRNA gene and ITS2". The stretch from base 109 to 262 matches the Rfam family "5.8S ribosomal RNA". The record is from RNAcentral. Lineage: Eukaryota; Fungi; Basidiomycota; Tremellomycetes; Tremellales; Rhynchogastremaceae.
GAUUGGUCGAAAGACCUUAUCAGAUUCUACCACCUCUGUGAACCGUUGACCUCCGGGUUAAUAAUCAAACAUCAGUGUAACGAACGUAAGAGUAUCUUAAUUAAACAAAACUUUUAACAACGGAUCUCUUGGCUCUCGCAUCGAUGAAGAACGCAGCGAAAUGCGAUAAGUAAUGUGAAUUGCAGAAUUCAGUGAAUCAUCGAAUCUUUGAACGCACCUUGCGCCUUUUGGUAUUCCGAAAGGCAUGCCUGUUUCAGUGUCAUGAAAUCUCAAUCUAAUAUGUUUUCUGAACAUGUUAGCUUGGACUUGGGUGUCUGCCAGCAAUGGCUCACCUCAAAUGACUUAGUGGAACAUCCCACAUCAGUGUUAGACGUAAUAAGUUUCGUCUCUCCUUGUGGUGAUGACUGCUCAAAACCUGCCAUCGCGCACCUUUU